UGAUACUGCAGGUCUUGAGUGUUGUUGAAGUAGCUGGAAUAAGUAGUGUAGCGGUGAAAUGCAUAGAUAUUACUUAGAACACCAAUUGCGAAGGCAGGUUACUAAGCAACAACUGACGCUGAUGGACGAAAGCGUGGGGAGCGAACAGGAUUAGAUACCCUGGUAGUCCACGCCGUAAACGAUGCUAACUCGUUUUUGGGUUUUCGGAUUCAGAGACUAAGCGAAAGUGAUAAGUUAGCCACCUGGGGAGUACGUUCGCAAGAAUGAAACUCAAAGGAAUUGACGGGGGCCCGCACAAGCGGUGGAUUAUGUGGUUUAAUUCGAUGAUACGCGAGGAACCUUACCAAGGCUUAAAUGGGAAAUGACAGGUUUAGAAAUAGACUUUUCUUCGGACAUUUUUCAAGGUGCUGCAUGGUUGUCGUCAGCUCGUGCCGUGAGGUGUUAGGUUAAGUCCUGCAACGAGCGCAACCCCUGUCACUAGUUGCCAUCAUUAAGUUGGGGACUCUAGUGAGACUGCCUACGCAAGUAGAGAGGAAGGUGGGGAUGACGUCAAAUCAUCACGGCCCUUACGCCUUGGGCCACACACGUAAUACAAUGGCCAGUACAGAGGGCAGCUACACGGUGACGUGAUGCAAAUCUCGAAAGCUGGUCUCAGUUCGGAUUGGAGUCUGCAACUCGACUCUAUGAAGCUGGAAUCGCUAGUAAUCGCGCAUCAGCCAUGGCGCGGUGAAUACGUUCCCGGGCCUUGUACACACCGCCCGUCAAGCCAUGGAAGNCUGGGGUACCUGAAGUCGGUGA
Molecule: ribosomal RNA, 798 nt
Filed under: Chryseobacterium sp. MZ0384J
Lineage: Bacteria; Pseudomonadati; Bacteroidota; Flavobacteriia; Flavobacteriales; Weeksellaceae
Description: bacterial SSU rRNA
Rfam family: Bacterial small subunit ribosomal RNA
Source: RNAcentral